Molecule: ribosomal RNA, 377 nt
Filed under: uncultured bacterium
Lineage: Bacteria
Description: bacterial SSU rRNA
Rfam family: Bacterial small subunit ribosomal RNA
Source: RNAcentral
AGAGMCCUCAAGCGUUAUCCGGAAUCAUUGGGCGUAAAGCGUGCCGAUAGGUUGUUUUGAAAGUUUUGGGUAAAAGCCAGAAGCUCAACUUCUGCGUUUGCUCAAAAUACUGCAAGACUAGAGGGGCAAAGAGGUCCUUGGAACGAACGGUGUAGUAGUGAAAUGCGUUGAUAUCGUUCGGAACACCGAAAGCGAAGGCAGAGGACUGGGUGCCACCUGACACUGCUAGGACGAAAGCGUGGGGAGCGAAUGGGAUUAGAUACCCCAGUAGUCCACGCUGUAAACGAUGAAUACUAGGCAUGCGCGAGUAUCGACCCUCGUGCGAGCCGUAGCUAACGCGUUAAGUAUUCCGCCUGGGGAGUACGGUCGCAAGACUA